Non-coding RNA from Gossypium hirsutum (cotton), 145 nucleotides. The record is from Rfam. Lineage: Eukaryota; Viridiplantae; Streptophyta; Magnoliopsida; Malvales; Malvaceae.
UGUUAAAAAUUUCAUCCAUUUUUACUGUUGAAAAUUUGUGUGACUAACGAAAUAACUAGAUAGUUUAAUGUAAUGUGCCACGUAUAUCUCAUACUAAGGUCCAAAUACCGAUUUUUAAUAGUAAAAAUGGAUAGAAUUUUUAAUA